CCCGUCAUCUAGGUUUUAAGCCCUGCAUGCAUUAGAUAUUUGCCCUGAUGCUCUCCCUCCCCCGACUCCCUGACAGGCCCCAUUGUGUGAUGUUCCUCUCCAUGUUUCCAUGUGUUCUCAUUGUUCAACUCCCACUUAUGAGUGAGAACAUGCAGUGUUUGCUUUUCUGUUCCUGUGUUAGUUUGCUAAGAAUGAUAGCUUCUGGCUUCAUCCAUGUCCCUGCAAAGGACAUGAACUCAUUCUUUUUUAUGGCUGCAUAGUAUUCCAUGGUCUGUAUGUGCCACAUUUUCUUUAUCCAAUCUAUCAUUGAUGGGCAUUUUUAGUAAUGGAAGUAUUCUAUUAUUUUUAAUUUUAUGUAUGUACAGACAAGAGCUAUAUGGGAAAGUAGCUAUUACAGACCCAUUAUAGUUUCAUCAUUUAUAACCAGGGUUGGUAGUAAAGCAACAGAAAUACAUCUUCAAUGCAGACUUGCUCCCAGCAUCUCUUUCCUUUCAUCCUUGACCAUAUUGCAUCCUGGACAGGAAGAAGACAUCCUCAGCCCACCACCCCUUCCCCUCCAAUGUGGACUGAGUGUUGGGUCAACUGAUAAGCAGUGCAGACUCUUCAUUUUGCUUUGUUGGUGCCUUGGAGGCAUGUGAGGGCACAGCCUCAAAUUCCAGAGACCUUGCCUUCAGGAUUUGAGGUGGGCAAAGAUGUGAAAGAAGACCUUUAGCCACUCAGUGUUAUCAAAAGCAAUCACCAAAGAAGUUUUUGCAUCUGGCAUUGUGUUGGGACGUCCAUCAGCAGUACCGUACGGUCUCUUUACUGGACAAGUAUUUACACCUUGUUAACAGCAGUGUACACCCGGUGGAAAACUCCUAUUCAUGGCAUGGCAGAAUUGUAAACAUUUCCUCCUUCACCAAAUUUGUGGAUGGAAUAAAAUGUAGCCUUAAACUUUAUUGGCUUCUCCAGUCUUCCACCUGCAGGGCCCAAAAACUUUCAGAAGUAGGAAUCCUGUGGCAUCUGCUAAUGGUGAUUGGAAGAAAGAGUAGAGGUGACAGUAUCUAUGGGUGCAGUACCAGAACUAUUACGAAAUGCUUCCAGCUGCGAUUUCAGAGGAAUCCCCCCUGAACCCCUGGACGUGGUUCUCCUAUUUCAGUCACACUUCUAGCUAUGACUCUGCUUAGACAAGAUGAAGUUGAUGGAUCCAUUAGAAAGUUUCCACUGAACUUGUCUGGUCCAAUUUCUCUUUCCUCAAGGGCAUGGACACAGCUUUGGUUCUCCUUCCUGAACUUACUUGUCUGCUGCUCCCAUUCUUCCCAUUAGGGCAUAGAAGAUUACCUAGCAGGUGAAGGCACCCUACACUCUUUGGUUUUUAAUAGGAGAAACCCUCCAGUCAGAGAUAAAUCUUACUUGGAGUCUAGGUAGCUAUAAGUCUGAAGUGUCAGUACGACAUUUCAGCACUUUCAGUAGGAGCUCCCAAGGGCCAAAUAAAUCACAGAACCAGCCUUUGAGAUAUUGACUUUGGCUUGAAAUAGAAUGUGAGGUGGUGAUUCUGCUCUAUUAUACCAGAGGCCAAGUUUUUUCUGAAGUAGCCAUAGCCAGGUGAGGGUGGCCUUCUGGAGGAGUAAGGUUUGAGAGAACUAUGUUGGAAGUCAUUAAGAGAAAGAGCCUAUUCCCCAGCUGCUUCCUGCUCAGAAGCAAGGGCCCUGGUGGUUGGUACAAGAUAAAGCUAAGCAUGAAGGCUCUUCUCUUGAUAAUCUAGAUCGCCCCAAAACAACUGAGUCUAUAAAGAACCCAGAUUAUGUCAUGUGCCAAUCUGUCACACACCGGAAUGUAUAUCUCAUGAUUCAAUAAUUUCUGUUGUGUAUACAAUUGUGAUGUGCAUGUCAA
Molecule: long non-coding RNA, 1872 nt
Filed under: Homo sapiens (human)
Lineage: Eukaryota; Metazoa; Chordata; Mammalia; Primates; Hominidae
Description: HSALNT0046911
Source: RNAcentral